RNAcentral lists this transfer RNA (69 nucleotides) under Hylomyscus walterverheyeni. RNAcentral's name for it is "tRNA-Arg". The record is from RNAcentral. Lineage: Eukaryota; Metazoa; Chordata; Mammalia; Rodentia; Muridae.
UGGUAAUUAGUUUAAAAAAAAAAUUAAUGAUUUCGACUCAUUAGAUUAUGAUAUUAUCAUAAUUACCAA